Non-coding RNA from Caranx melampygus (bluefin trevally), 72 nucleotides. The record is from the annotation of a GenBank genome assembly. NCBI's taxonomy places the organism in Eukaryota, Metazoa, Chordata, Actinopteri, Carangiformes, Carangidae.
GCAACCAUAGUCCAAUGGAUAACACCCUCGCCUGUCACCCGGCAGACCUGGGUUCGAUCCCCGCUCCCUGCU